Molecule: ribosomal RNA, 253 nt
Filed under: uncultured bacterium
Lineage: Bacteria
Description: partial 16S ribosomal RNA
Rfam family: Bacterial small subunit ribosomal RNA
Source: RNAcentral
UACGUAGGGUGCAAGCGUUGUCCGGAAUUAUUGGGCGUAAAGAGCGUGUAGGCGGUUCGGUAAGUCGGCUGUGAAAGUCCAGGGCUCAACCCUGGGAUGCCGGUCGAUACUGCAAGGCUCGAGUACGGAAGAGGCGAGUGGAAUUCCCGGUGUAGCGGUGAAAUGCGCAGAUAUCGGGAGGAACACCAAUGGCGAAGGCAGCUCGCUGGGACGUUACUGACGCUGAGACGCGAAAGCGUGGGGAGCAAACAGG